GUGGGGAAUUUUGCGCAAUGGGGGAAACCCUGACGCAGCAACGCCGCGUGCGGGACGAAGGCCUUCGGGUUGUAAACCGCUUUCAGCAGGGAAGACACAGACGGUACCUGCAGAAGAAGCUCCGGCUAACUACGUGCCAGCAGCCGCGGUAAUACGUAGGGGGCGAGCGUUAUCCGGAUUCAUUGGGCGUAAAGCGCGCGUAGGCGGCCGCCUAAGCGGAACCUCUAAUCCCGGGGCUCAACCUCGGGCCGGGUUCCGGACUGGGCGGCUCGAGUGCGGUAGAGGCAGGCGGAAUUCCCGGUGUAGCGGUGGAAUGCGCAGAUAUCGGGAAGAACACCGAUGGCGAAGGCAGCCUGCUGGGCCGCCACUGACGCUGAGGCGCGAAAGCUGGGGGAGCGAACAGGA
This 405-nucleotide ribosomal RNA is filed under the name uncultured bacterium. RNAcentral describes it as "bacterial SSU rRNA". It matches the Rfam family "Bacterial small subunit ribosomal RNA", at positions 354 to 777 of the family's 1533-position model. The record is from RNAcentral.